Long non-coding RNA from Bacillus rossius redtenbacheri, 4872 nucleotides. RefSeq lists it as uncharacterized. The record is from RefSeq and is a predicted model, not a curated record. The transcript is spliced from 2 exons. Lineage: Eukaryota; Metazoa; Arthropoda; Insecta; Phasmatodea; Bacillidae.
UCAAGCUCUGUGCUAUCUCUGUGCGUGUGUGCUAUCUGUGUGCUGUUUGCGUGCUAUUGUGAAUGUAGCCCGGCCUUUAUCUUUCUGUUUGGCAAUAUUUUUAAUAUUUUAGCUAUUUUUUGUGUAGUGUUCGUAUUUGCAAUGGUAUAUAUAACCUGAAUUACGAUAGCCCGUCGCGCCCGUCCGUCAGCCUCCAGCCGCUUAGUGAUUAUAACAUUCGGCUCGUCCGUCAUAGUAUUUUUCCAUUUAUAUUAGUUAAACAGUAAUGUAAAUUAAGUACUUAUAACUGUUUAAACUCAAUUAUUUUUCACUCUUAGUAUUUAUUUUCACAUUCCCAGUGUUACAAUACGUAAUUAAUACACGUGUCAGACCUAUUUUGUUUCAAAAAACUGAUUUUCUAAUGUGUUCAAACUUUUUUUUAACUUGAAUACCUUAUAAUAUUUAAUUCGACACGCAAACACCUAACUGACAUUUGGAGGUUAUAGUUUCAGCCGUCCAUCAAAAGUAUGAAGUUGCCAAGCUUUUUGACGGAUGGACGGAAUUAUUCGGGCCAUGUUAUUGGCUGUAUGUCACGUGAUUGAUGGACUUUGGGAAGGGGGGGGGGGGUGACCGCCUGUUGUGAUUUCGGCCUAUAUGACAGUCUGUUGCACCAUUUUGUACUUUGUAUUUAUAACCAACUUGUUUAUUUUGUUAUUUUGUUGCUUUUAUAGUUUUUUUUUUACUGUUUUGCAUGCAGAUAAUUUUUAGAACUGCAUAAGGAGCAACUAGUUUGCAUAAUAGACAGAGAUCAUCUUUGUUGAUUUUAGGCAUAAUAGACAGAGAUCAAUUUUGUUGAUUUUUUAUAUUUAAGGUAUAUAUCUAUGAAAAACAAAAAAAUAAAUUAGUUUGUUAAGUCGAAACAAUUUAAAUUCAUGGGAAAAAGAACCAUUUUUAGUUUAGAAUAAAUUUAUUUUUUGCUACAAAAACUUGCUUUAAGAGGGUUUAGAAAUUUUCUAGAAUAUUUGUUUAAAAAAAAAAUGAAAGCCUGAAUUUGAUAUUUUUAAGUUAUUAUUCUGUUUGAUGACUAUAUUACAAUAUUUCAAGUAAUUUAUUGGUAGUUUUCAAUUUUGAACAGUUAGGGUAAAGUUAGCUACAUUUAAUUUACUGUAAGAUUGUUUUAAUGGUUGGUUAGGUUAGACACAUGGUUUUGAAGGUAAAUAAGUACUGUAGCGGUAUUUGCGAAAAAAAAUGUUAAAAAUCCGAAAAUACUUUUAUUAUAUGCUCUUUCACUUCCUCUUUUCAUUAAACCCGGCGGAGAUAAGAAAUUCCAAAUACUUUAGGAGAUAUCACCGUUCUUAUUUUGUAAUACAAGACCUGUGCUAUCAUUCGAUUGCCGCAAUUUUUUUAUUUUGCAGUGUGUUCGUGAAUGCCUAAUUAAUUAAAAUGGUCGAUUAAGUCAAGUCAGUUACAUUAUAAAUCCUUUCAAACUAAGAGGACAUUAAAAAUAAUGUGAAUUAAUUUUAAUGGUUGUUUAGUUUUAAAGUAUUUAUAAUGUAACUGACCUGACCAAACAAACCGUGACAAAGGAUGAACAGUUGGAACUCACGUAAUUUUUUUUUACUUAUUACUUGCGCAACAAUAUCCAAAUAACAAAUAAAACAUUAAAAUUUGAAACGUUAAAAACUCACCUAAGUUAGAGGCAGGUACAAUUCCUUUGCCAUUAGUAGAAAAUGAUGUUCACCUAAGUCGCGAAAAAAAAAAUUCAUACUCGUAAACAAGAAACAAUGCUUAAUGCCGCAUGAAUGCACGGGUAUUGUGAUGAAAAUUAAAAAAUUCAAUAUCUCCUAAAGUAUUUCGAAUUUCUUAUCUCCGCCCGGUUAAAUGAAAAGAGGAAGUUAAAGAGCAUAGAAUAAAAGUAUUUUUGGAAUUUUUAAAUUUUUGUUAACAAAUAUCGCCCAACUAUUAAAAUUAAAAAAUCCAAUAUCUCCUAAAGUAUUUAGAAUUUCUUAUCUCUGCUGGGUAUAAUGAAAAGAGGAAGUGAAAGAGCAUAUAAUAAAAGUAUUUUGGGAUUUUUAACAUUUUUUUUCGCAAAUACAGCUACUCUACCUUUUUACCGUUUUGAAUAGUUGUUUAGGCAAAGCCAGCUACAUUAAAAACAGUAUUAAUUUGUGUGAACAGUUAGGUUUGUCGAGGAUAGCUACAUUAAAAAUAUGUGAAUUGUUGUGAUCAUUUAUUUAUGUUAGGUUUGGGUAGCAAAAUUUAAAAUACUCAGUGGGAAUUUUCAACAUGAACACAUACAUAAUCUAGGAAAUUAGGUUCCUUUUAAUAGUUGCAUUAUGUACAAUUAGUAGGAAGCAAGACUAUUAUUUUAUUCCAUUAGUCCACUGCGCUAAUACAAAGGGAUAAGGAGCCUAUCACAUCUUACCCAGCUCAAAUCUUGUAACUCAUUACAACUGCCUCUUUUACAAAAAAAUUUAUUCCUGUAAUGUUUUUUUUGAUUACUGCUUAUGUUCCCUGAAGGUUUCGCAAAGAAAUGUUUUUCGGGUAAUUCUGAAGAAGAUCCUCUUUUCAGAAAAAAAUAAAAAUCCAGAAUGAUUUUUUUUUACUUUGUGACAUGUUUUUAAUUCAUUCUCUAACAGGUCGUUAUAAUACAAGUAGUUUAACAGUAGAUUACUCUUUUAACAAGUGGUUAAUUGUUGUUUUUAGAUUAAAAAUUGUGUGACAUUUUGCUAGGUUAGCAGCAAUUAAAUUACUUAAGAAUAGUUUCAUGGUUAGUUAGGUUAUUUUAGAUGUAUCUAUUUAAAAAAAAUUGGUUGUCUGUAAAGUCGGUUUACGGACAAUAGUUUAACGUGACGUCAUAUAUCAAAACAUUGAUGAAAUGAUUUAUCCAGAAGAAAAUGAAAUAUCAUAUUCGGCCUGAGACUGAGCCGUGAUAGGUUUUUGCAACCAAACCAUUUAGGCAUUAAAAAUAUUAUAUUCUUUGAGGAAGAAAUUUUUUUUUUAAUUUUUCUAUCUUUUGUAUGAUAAAAUCUACCUAUCCAUACUUUUAUGAAUAAAAUUGAAUCAGUUUUAUUGAAUUAUCACUAUUUUGUAUGGAUCCAAAGGAGUGAAAUGAAAUGUACCAUUUAAUUAAUAAAUUUAAUUUUAUUUGCAUUCAUUAAUUCAAAUAUAUUUAUUACUUUUGAAAUGUUGCGUGCGCCGUAUUUAUUUUUUACAAGUACAAAAAAAAAAAUUGCAGCUGCCGACAUUCGUACUGAUUACCUUUAAAUUGGAAGUCAUCCAUACUAACCACACGGCCACGAGACCAUAUUGAGAAUAAUGGUUUCAGAUGGUAUAAAUUAAUAAUAUUCCACGGACAAUAUUUGUUUGAAUUUGUUUUAACUAGCUUAUUCUCUGUUGGACUCGAAAUAUUUACACGCUCGUGGGCUCAUAACUAUAAUACAGUUUGUGAUUUAGUAGAUCAAAUAAUAACUCAUGACAAAUAAUUACUAAUGUCAAACUAAAGCGUGAAAAGUAUCAUACCAGCAAUAAAUAUUUAGUUACACAGCUAAAACCAUACUCAUACAACACUGUUUAAAUAUACUGAUUUACACUAGUAAUUAAAAUAAUACGUACUUGUAAGAACGCCAUUUCCUUGCGAAUAUACUCCCGUGGCACGGUGCACAACAAUAACCUCGAACCAGUACGCCGCCACGUGCCGGCCGAGUUCUCUUUACCGUCCGCAACAUACCAGAGAGAUGCCACGCAUGCGUAAACACAUCCGUAGUGGGACAAUUUUUUGUGCGUGCAGCCAGCGUUCAUCGAUUUAUUAGACGUCACGUCAAAAAUGUUUAAUUAUUUUAACAGUUGAUUAGAAACUAUUCUAUCAAUUUAAAAUGUAAUUAUCGUAAUUUCAUCAAAUGUGAACAUCAAUUUAAAAGAUUUGUUAUGAACCUAACCUAACCAGUCUUUAAAACAGUGAAGUACUGGUAAAAUAUUUGAAAAAUCAUAACACCCAAAAAAAUAUUCAAACACAUGUAGAAGCCGAGAGGUGUGAGAUCUGAUGAUCGAGUGGCCACGCUACCGGACCACACCGCUCCACCUAUCGUUUGGAGAAGGUUUUGAGAUACUGUCGCACAGCAUGUGAUGAGUGGGCGAGGCAUAGUCAUGCAGAUACAUAUUGUUCCUCAGAGUAAGUGGCAAAUCUUUUAACAGCUCUAAAAUGUGUGGUUUAGAAAGUGGCCGUAACUAAUAUUGCGCUAUCCACCCAAAGCCAAUUGUGUAAACACAUGUAAAUGUACUACAACCACCACCCAUUGUGCUGGUUGCUAGUAUGUAUCUACUCGCUGCUCUUUGCCGUGCUCCUCUCAGCCACUGGUGUGGUGCCUACAUGAGCGCAAAAUACAAGUUUGUGCUUUACUGUUUGCGCCUGUAAUUUUGUAGGUUUACGUUUCCUGACAUAAUGUUCCUUAACAAAAACCAUUCUGUAAAUUUGCCCCUAGCAAUUUCCGAAAACCCUGUACUUAGCAUGUGAAUGGAAUUUGCUAAAACAGCAAUACUGUACUUGUGAUGUCAAGAAGGAAGCGUAAAUGAGAAGAAAGUAUGUAUUAUGUGAAAACUACCAAUGCUGAGUUAAUUUUUUAACUCGUAUAGGCUAAUAAGAUUGUGUAAUUGAUGCAUGGGUUAAUUCUGCAAAUAUUAAGCAUGGGACUUUGUCUGGCAAUGUUAUCACAGUCAUGAAGAAAGCAAUGUUAAGUUAGAAUUGUAAGUAAAAAUACAAUUUUAAGAAUCAUGUUACGCAGGCUGUAGGAAUUUGGUGGAGAUGGAGGGACGUGGGUAGGGGACAAAGUAUGUGCUGUGUCCUACCAUGAAAUAAAAUAAGAUAAAAUAAAAGAUGUUAUAACAUGUGUAAAA